Non-coding RNA from Microcebus murinus (gray mouse lemur), 1078 nucleotides. NCBI's taxonomy places the organism in Eukaryota, Metazoa, Chordata, Mammalia, Primates, Cheirogaleidae. The record is from RefSeq and is a predicted model, not a curated record.
AUCCAGGCGGGAACCAGAUUGUCUCCUUGAGCCCCUUCCCUCCCUACUUGGCCGCCAACCGCAGCCCAGGCCGCAGAAACGAGCCCUUCCGCCGAGGCCACCUGGAUGCCCUUGGCCCGCCUCCCUCCCACCCGCCCCUGCCGCGGAGUGGAACCCUUGGAGUGGAACCCUGAGGGAUACAGCUUCCAGUGGCUACUUUGAGACUGAGAGAGAAACAGAGGAAGAAAUGCCUGGAAGUGUAAGAUUUCAUCACAGUCCCAUUCUCCGAUUUCCAGAUCAGAUGGCCUUUUGGCAAUGAUUGCUUUGGAUCUUAAUUUAUAGAUCUUUUCUUCAAGAUUUUAAGAAGAGGAGAAAAAGUAAGUGAAAAGAUAUUCUGGGGAAAUGAAGCAAAAGAGGCAGAUGUGGUUUCUACAUGAAACAUGUUGUGAGGAAUUUGUUGGGAUUCUCCUGAAAAAGUGACCAAAGGGAUUCUUCUGGACUUUUGGGAAGAUUAAAUAAGAUAGAUCAUCGAUGUCAGAGUGUUUUGUAAAAAUUUGAAAGUGUAUUGCAAACGAAACUAUUUUUAUUACUCGUUCUAAUCUGAAUUCCUUAAUCCUCUGAGCUAUUUAAAAGAGAAAAAUGUAAAGGUAAGAAGAGAAUGUGAAAAAAUACUUGUAUUCCAUGUUCAAGGGUGCAUUUGCUGAUUAGAAGAGUAAUAUCUUUGGUGUAUAGCUCUGCCACAAUAUCAUAUCUGCUCAUCUAUCAAAGUCAUCCAUCAAUUAGACAUUGGAGUGGGAUGCCAGAAUCGAAGGCCACGUAGCACGGGCACAUUACCAAUAGAACGCCAAAGCUGGUAAGGUGGCUGCAGGUACAGACGGUUUCAUUCAGCUUCCUAUCUUUGAUGGAGCAGCCAUUGGAUGACCAGCCUCCUGCGCCCCCUGUUGGCAUCGGGAAGAGCAUCUGUCAGCAAGGAACAACACUGACUUGUCACUCACCCGCUCAAGGCUUUGAAAAGGUUGUGAGUGGGAACCCAUACUACUAAGUGAAGUAUCCCAAGAAUGGAAAAACAAGCACCACAUAUAUUCACCAGCAAACUGGU